CCGGCCGCCUCGGCUCUGCGCCAUUUGCACACCCUGGGAACCUCUCCCAUAGCCGCUCGGCCCGAUCUGCUGUGUAUCGGCGGUAGCAGCGGCGGCGCUUCCUCUCCCCCGUCCCAGCCACCCCUCCCCGGCGAGCUUGUGCUCUUCUCUCGGCGUCGCCGGCGUGCUCGCCCUCCACUGGGUCUCUGGUCUGUGGGUGACAUGCGGCGGCCUUGGCCUUGGACCCGGGCACUAUGACAUUGUCAAGCAGUCUUGAAAUCGGCUUCACUGCCUCAGGGUUGAAGAACAUUGCUGAUCUGAUGAGGCAUUCACACAGUGGCACAGAGGAUGUGAUGUGAGGAAAAACGACGAAUUACGAUAUCCCUCCCAGUGCGUGAAUAUGAUCAACUCAAGAAGCUUUGAACCUCCUUCUCAUCUGGUGAGAACCAUCCCCCGAUUUCACUAUGCAAAGACAAAAUAUUCAGCAUCAGUUCUGUAUUGCUCUGAACAAAUAUUUGCCAGACUCUGCGAGUUCCUCAGGAAGAUCCUCUCCUGCCGAGCAUUAUUCCGUGCCAUCUCAUCCUCCUAAUGCAUGUGUUAACAAGGGUCGGUAUUCAACCGUUCGUGGAUGAAGUACUCCAGCGCUGCUGAUAUCUUCUCCAUGAAUUCCGUCCCUGGCACCUUGACAACAGGAUUCUGAAGCUCGUACGUAUCUCGGGGCAUCACCUCUUUCCCCUGAGCUCUGAAUAUCUCCGUCAAGAGGAUCGCUUCAGCCUCCUGUUUUGAAGUACCUCUGUCGCAGCUUGGUCAUCUUGGACAUAGGGGCGACACCAUCUGCGGUUGGAAUUUGUAGGUGGAUGAUGCAUAUCAUGGGAAAGAGGAAUCAAGAGAAGUCAUUUGUGUAUCCAGUGAUCGAUCCAUGUACAUAGUACUAUGCACGGACCUACUGCCAAGUAAAGGAGCCUCCUUGGCCUGACCAUGCGAAACAAGCGAUCCAAGUAAGCGAAAAACCAAUUGUACACCUGCGCGAAUGCCAGUGAAAUUAAGGCCAGCUCAAGAGUUCAAGAGAGUCAACAGACACCGGCUAGAUUGCAUGGCGAUCGUCAUGGUUGAGGUGUUUAUUACCAGCCCGUUGUUGAGGCGGAAGCAUUUGUGGAUGAUUUCAUUCAUGUCGAGGUAGAGGUUGUCGUAGAUGAUCUCUUCUUC
Molecule: long non-coding RNA, 1185 nt
Organism: Triticum aestivum (bread wheat)
Lineage: Eukaryota; Viridiplantae; Streptophyta; Magnoliopsida; Poales; Poaceae
Exons: 6
Source: RefSeq, a predicted model, not a curated record